Gorilla gorilla gorilla (western lowland gorilla) is the source of this 1310-nucleotide long non-coding RNA. RefSeq lists it as uncharacterized. Lineage: Eukaryota; Metazoa; Chordata; Mammalia; Primates; Hominidae. The record is from RefSeq and is a predicted model, not a curated record. The transcript is spliced from 4 exons.
UGGCUGUAGAACUGAGCCACUUCAGCAGGAAGCCAAGAGCAGCACUGCUAGGCCGAAGCCCCUGACACUGCAGCCACUGCCACUGCCACCCUUGGGUGUCAAUAGCACUGUCACAACUGCCUGAGACACCACCAGAGGCCAGCAGGGAGGAACUAUCCAGGCUUUUGGCAGUGCCUCCUCUUCACAGAACCUCACUGAAAGCCUGUUGGAGGGCGUCUGGGAAAUGCAGCAUGUGGAGUCUCACCCUGCUAUGCUAGAGCAGAGCAAAGAAGGCUGGGAACACAGCUGACAGCGAGUAGGCAAAUGAUCAGCGCAGUUCUGGGGGCUGGGAAGAUCGAGGAACCUGCAUGUUCAGUGUCUGAUCAUCUGACUUCAACAACCAACUCUGCAUGAGAACUAGAAAAUGCAAGGAUUUCUAUAGGUCUCUAUGGUGACUGUAUUAGUAUCCCAAGGUCCAAGGGCAUUUGCUACCAAAUUAUUACUAAGCCUCCUACAAAGCAAGGUCUCCACUACUCCUUUGCUCAAGCAUGGUGACUCUAACCUUUGCAUUCACGGAUGCGGCUGGCAGGAUGCCCCGUGGGCUCAAACCAUUUCCAUAAAGUACACGUGCAAAGCCCCUGCUGAGAGACACCAGGAACAUCUUUCAAGGCUCUCAGCUCCAGCUUCUUCUUUCAAAAUGCACAAGGCUUCUCAACUAGUUCCUGUCUAGCCAGGCUGCUCAUUUCUUUACAGUCACUGAACCAGAAUAACCACAAAUCAAGCCGGAAGCACAUGAUAACCCGCUGAACUCCGCACAGCCCUGGCUGGGCUUCUCUGAGUGAAUAAACGCUGCCCUGGUCUCCGCAGCUGUGAAAUAUCCAGUGAGCAUCCAGCUGCGGGUUAGUUACUUCCACAGUCAGAGAAGGAAAGAAGAAAAUAAGAGUGACAGAUGCACAGAACCACGGACAUUCGAGACUGUCAUAGCUGUUCACAGUUGUUAAAGAUUUACAGGCAAGCCGUUUGGAGUUUAAAUGUGAGAUGACACCAGGGGCCUCUAAUGUACAGUGGAGCUUUAAGCAUGAUAUGGGGGCAGAAAAUGGUCUGGGAACCCCCUUCUCUGAGAUCUUAGAAGUUCUGUUCUAUUGACUCCAGGCAGGGCUGCAGCCACGGUGCACUUCAUGGACUCAUAAAUAUAACAUUAUUGGACAAAAAAACCCCAAUCCUUCUCUGACUGAUUAGGCCCAGAUUGGUCAGCCCAUAAAUCAAUGCUGAAUAAGAGCUAUAAAGUUGUGAAUCAAUGUGUCCCAGAUCUCCAAACUGGAAUGAAAAAG